Molecule: ribosomal RNA, 378 nt
Filed under: uncultured cyanobacterium
Lineage: Bacteria; Bacillati; Cyanobacteriota
Description: bacterial SSU rRNA
Rfam family: Bacterial small subunit ribosomal RNA
Source: RNAcentral
CGCAAGCCUGACCCAGCGACGCCGCGUGGAGGACGAAGCCCUUCGGGGUGUAAACUCCUUUUAGUGGGGACGAACGCAGACGGUACCCACAGAAAAAGCCCCGGCUAACUACGUGCCAGCAGCCGCGGUAAUACGUAGGGGGCGAGCGUUGCCCGAAUUUACUGGGCGUAAAGCGCACGUAGGCGGCUCCGUAAGUCUGGUGUGAAAUCUCACGGCUCAACCGGGAGGCUGCACCGGAUACUGCGGAGCUCGAGGACGGGAGAGGAGAUUGGAAUUCCCGGUGUAGCGGUGAAAUGCAUUGAUAUCGGGAGGAACACCAGUGGCGAAGGCGGAUCUCUGGCCCGUUGCUGACGCUGAGGGACGAAAGCUAGGGGAGCG